This 77-nucleotide transfer RNA is filed under the name Rhodopseudomonas palustris. RNAcentral describes it as "tRNA-His". It matches the Rfam family "tRNA". Rfam says of the family: Transfer RNA (tRNA) molecules are approximately 80 nucleotides in length. Their secondary structure includes four short double-helical elements and three loops (D, anti-codon, and T loops). Further hydrogen bonds mediate the characteristic L-shaped molecular structure. tRNAs have two regions of fundamental functional importance: the anti-codon, which is responsible for specific mRNA codon recognition, and the 3' end, to which the tRNAs corresponding amino acid is attached (by aminoacyl-tRNA synthetases). tRNAs cope with the degeneracy of the genetic code in two manners: having more than one tRNA (with a specific anti-codon) for a particular amino acid; and 'wobble' base-pairing, i.e. permitting non-standard base-pairing at the 3rd anti-codon position. RNAcentral also lists the same sequence under 4 other names. The record is from RNAcentral. Lineage: Bacteria; Pseudomonadati; Pseudomonadota; Alphaproteobacteria; Hyphomicrobiales; Nitrobacteraceae.
GCAGUUGUAGCUCAGCUGGUUAGAGCGCCUGUCUGUGGAACAGGAGGUCGGUGGUUCGAACCCACCCAACUGUACCA